Molecule: long non-coding RNA, 2778 nt
Filed under: Homo sapiens (human)
Lineage: Eukaryota; Metazoa; Chordata; Mammalia; Primates; Hominidae
Description: HSALNT0406811
Source: RNAcentral
CUGCACGACCUGUACUUCAGUCACCAGACACUCCUCCAGGCCGGCUUUGCCCGCCUCCCAGACCACCUGCAGAGACGAGAGGAGGCAGGGGUCACACUGGAAACAAGCGACGCUCGCGGACGCCCUCGAGGGCUCACCUUCUGCAGAUCACGAAGACACAGACCAGGGCCAGCAGCGUCCCCAGCGCGAUCAGCAGCGACGUCCGCCAGGCCACCUGAGUACCAGGACCGGGAGCGACUUCCGGACCUCCCAGCCCCAGUCUGGAACCCUAAGGGAGCGGAAAGACCACCAGGGAUCCCUGUCUGCCUGGUGCUCGGGACACGGGGAGCGCCAGGGACUUCCACUGUGCCCAGCAGGCCGGCAGAGACCGGGUUUCACCGUGUUAGCCGGGAUGGUCUCGAUCUCCUGACCUUGUGAUCCGCCCGCCUCGGUCUUUAUUACAAGGCCCAGGGGGUGUCUGUCAGUGGGACGACCUUGUUUCCCCUCCACGUCUCCUCUCGUGAGUAAGAGCAAGCUAUACUUCAAAUUACUUCUCCUAUGCAUUUGGAGAGCGGGAGAGAAAAACACCAGGAAGGAAGAGGGAACAAAGAAACUCUACAGGCAGAGACACAGGACUGAGCCGCGUUGGGGGCACUGGGAGGAGUGAGCCUUGGGGUUGCACCCUCGGAGCCCCACUGUCCUGGGAGCAGCCUUCAGAACCACCCUUUUGUUCUCUGAAGUACCAGGCGUUCAGCUUUUCCAAGGACUGGCAGCUGCACAUCUUUGUCCCUGCCCCUUCCAUCUCUAGGCUCAGCCCCGCUGGGCAGCCUGGCCCACUCCCCACCCCUGCCCAGGGCCAACCCCUACUUCCCAUGCCCCCUCUGCCCACCUGCAGCACACUGGAGCCUUGGAGGCCCUCUCUGCAUCAUUCAAGAUGCAGACUCCUACACUUUGACCUGCACACAUCCUCCUGAAGCUUCCACUUCCUGGCCCCUGCCUGGCUUCUCACCUCCCCCACCUCCGCCCCCCAGGGGAUGUGCCGCCUCUCCCAGUGGCCCAGGACAUCCUCCACUUCCCGGGAACCCCAGGCACUUCCACAUCCUCAGACACAGUGAGAAGAUGACCCUCUCUCCAAGCCAGGAAGAGACCUCCCGAGGAGCCCAGCCAGCCAGCACGCUGACCUCCAACGUCCAGCCUCUGGAAAUGGGAUACCGAAGGCUGCGCUCCUGCCCCGCACCAGGAUGUGGGAACUUUGAGAACCGCUGGAGAGUCGAGAGAUGUCAUCGAAACGACACCCGAUACGUGUUCCCUGAGCAUCCGUUUUGUAGUGAAGACACUCGUACUGUUGACGCCUGCUGCGGUAAGCGGAGACAGGGCAGGGCGAUCAGGAGCAGCGUGAGCCAAAGGAGGACCAUCGGGAACGCAGCUCCGGAACGCAGGACAGAGGUGCCUGCUGCAGGAGAAACGAGAGUCAGGCAGCGGGGACUGGCUGUGAAACUGGGUUGCGGGUAAUGAAGGAUGCUUGCCCCUUCCAGAGCCUGGUGCUCACAGCAGAAGGAGCUGCUUCUGGAGGGAAAGCGGUGAACAUUGUCACGACCCCAAAAGGAGACUCCAGACCCAUUAAAGACCCGUCCUUCCUCUUCCCCAGCCUGUGGCAACCACUCAUCCACUUUCUGUCUCUGUGGAUUUGCCUGUAUCUGGACAUAGGGAAUAAAUGGAAUCAUACAGACACUAUGUAUCUUUUUGUAUCUGGCCUCUCUCAGGAAGCAUGAUGUCCUCAGCAUUCACCCACAUUGCCACCUGUGGCAGAGCCUCGUUCCUUUUCAUGGCUGUGUAAUAUUCCACCGUGUGGCUGGACCACAUUAUAUUUCUCCAUUCAUCUAUAGAUGGGUAUGAGGACUCUCUCCACCUCUUGGCUAGUGUGAAUAAAGCUGCUUAUUCCUUUUCAUGGCUGUGUAAUAUUCCACCGUGUGGCUGGACCACAUUAUAUUUCUCCAUUCAUCUAUAGAUGGGGUAUGAGGGCUGUCUCCACCUCUUGGCUAUUGUGAAUAAAGCUGCUUGUUCCUUUUCAUGGCUGUGUAAUAUUCCACUGUGUGGAUGGACAUUAUAUUUUUCCAUUCAUCUAUAGAUGGGUAUGAGGGCUGUCUCCACCUCUUGGCUAUUGUGAAUAAAGCUGCUUGUUCCUUUUCAUGGCUGUGUAAUAUUCCACUGUGUGGAUGGACAUUAUAUUUCUCCCUUCAUCUAUAGAUGGGGGUAUGAGGGCUGUCUCCACCUCUUGGCUAUUGUGAAUAAAGCUGCUUGUUCCUUUUCAUGGCUGUAUAAUAUUCCACUGUGUGUCUGGACCACAUUAUAUUUCUCCAUUCAUCUAUAGAUGGGUACGAGGGCUGUCUCCACCUCUUGGCUAUUGUGAAUAAAGCUGCUUGUUCCUUUUCAUGGCUGUAUAAUAUUCCACUGUGUGGCUGGACCACAUUAUAUUUCUCCAUUCAUCUAUAGAUGGGUAUGAGGGCUGUCUCCACCUCUUGGCUAUUGUGAAUAAAGCUGCUUGUUCCUUUUCAUGGCUGUGUAAUAUUCCACUGUGUGGCUGGACCACAUUAUAUUUAUCCAUUCGUCUAUAGAUGGGUAUGAGGGCUGUCUCCACCUCUUGGCUAUUGUGAAUAAAGCUGCUUGUUCCUUUUCAUGGCUGUGUAAUAUUCCACCGUGUGGCUGGACCACAUUAUAUUUAUCCAUUCGUCUAUAGAUGGGUAUGAGGGCUGUCUCCACCUCUUGGCUAUUGUGAAUAAAGCUGCUUGUUCCUUUUCA